GGCAAUGGGAACAUCUUAUCAAGAGUCUAUGAAGAAGAAAAUUGAAGACAGGGUAGUCACACUUAACAGCACAGUGUUAUAAAUAACCCUUUUAACGAAGGUCACGUAAGAUUAAGAGGUGUCUGUCUAACUGACUUCACCACAGGUUUAAAACAUUUUCUCAUGAUUCGUCAGACUUCUUUUCAACGCCACAUAAGCAGAACAUUCAGCAGCGUGAGAGGAGUCGAGGCUUUCCAUGACUUACCGUAUGGAGAGCGGUCUUUCUUACAUUAUAUGUUUUUAUGGCUUGGAGCGAUCUACAACUCGCAACCAGAACAAAUAAGCUGGAAAAGGUCAAUAGGGAAAUGAAGUUUUAACAGAACACCAAAGUUUCUGUAUUCCUGUUGCCUGUAUUCGAGUUUGAAAGUUCAUCCAAAUGUUCUUUUAAAUCCAGCACGCAUUCCUUCGUCUUCAGUGACUACCGGAUCUCGGUCAGAGGUGGAUUUGGAGCCAAUCCCGACAACACCUGGCUCAAGGUGGGACAAUCCACCAGUUCUCCAGCACCUAUUGGUUGAAAUAAAUGAAUGAAUGAA
Long non-coding RNA from Tachysurus fulvidraco (yellow catfish), 572 nucleotides. RefSeq lists it as uncharacterized. NCBI's taxonomy places the organism in Eukaryota, Metazoa, Chordata, Actinopteri, Siluriformes, Bagridae. The record is from RefSeq and is a predicted model, not a curated record. The transcript has 3 exons.